This 119-nucleotide ribosomal RNA is filed under the name Chelonoidis abingdonii (Abingdon island giant tortoise). The record is from RNAcentral. Lineage: Eukaryota; Metazoa; Chordata; Testudines; Testudinidae.
AUUUUUAACUCUAUAGCCACUGAACAUACCUGAUCUCAUCUAUUCUUGGAAAUAAGCAGGAUUGGGCCUUGUUAGUACUUGGAAUGGAAACCAGUUGGGAAUGCCAGCUGUUAUAGGUA